UGUGUGUGUGUGUGUGUGUAUACGCAUGAGCAAAAGCAUUUAAUUGUGCAUAAGAACCUGUUGUUGCGGCGCAGAAAUGUUGAAGAGGAAUAGCUGAAACUGAUCUAGAAGAGAUCUAUCUCAUUACGAUUGUUGGAAAUGAAUGAGAGAAGGUCUUUGGUAUUAAUAUGUAAAUCAAGAAUCACAUAUCUGGAAGAAGAAUGUUAUUCUGAAAUUGUUUGUAGGUAAUGUUCCUCUGUGUUACAGUGGCAAAAACAAUGAAUAAAAAGGAAAUCUUGUACUAGUUAUGAGGGUGUAUGUGAAACAGAAAAUAUAUUUCAAUGGAGACUGUCAGCUCUUUGAGAAAACACUUUCAGAAAACAGAUCUAUUGAUGACCUACUCUCCAAUGUCACUCACCAGUAGGCUCUCACCUUAGAUAAAUUUGAUAGAAGCAAUGUUGGUUGUUAACCUCAACAUCAGCAAAGUUUUUGACUGUGUAUAGCAUGUAAAUCUGCUGUCAAAACUGCCUGCCUAUGGGUUCCAUACAUCAUUCAUCUCUUCCUAUCAGAUUAUACUAUCACAUCCUGUGCUGAUGAAAUUCUCUCAUUCAACUCUUCCACCUCACACUCUUCCUCCUAUACAACAAUGACUUAUUUGCCAUCAUAAAUAACACAUUCUUACUCAGAUGAUUCUACUUUUCCCCACCCAAGCAUCUUCUACAUGCAAUCAGGACACCUCAUGCUAUAUGUACACUGACUCCAUAAAUAGAGACUUCAAAAAUAUCUUCCGACUGGGUCAUGCCAGUCUUGUAUCUUUCAGCAGCAAAAAGACACUGCUCACAUUAAGAAAAUAUUAUUACAUCUUAUCCUCCUUAACCCUUUAGCAUUAAAACUGGCCAUAUCCAACCCAAAUAUCCUACCUGUUUCACAAUCAAAUCAGCCAGAUCUCAUCUAUCACACCAACCCUAAAAUGUCAUUCUAAAAAUAUACAAUGUAGGUACAGGCAUGGCUUGCUGGUAAGAAGCUUGCUUCCGUGCAUGCGUGACCGAGAGUGCAUUUGGUUUGUCGUUUGUCUCGGACGUUGGUUGUCUUCAGCAGAGGAGGAGCUGGUAAGAGUGGUCAUAAAGAUGGACGGAGUGUUGGAAAAGACAAGGAGUUUUGCAGAGGUCACAGAGAUGAAGCAAAGGGAGUUGGACUUGACUAGUCUGAAGGAUUACGAAAAGAUGUUACAGAAGGUGGGAGGGGACGUGAGGCUGUCACCCCACCCAAAGGAAUUAUGUAGCAGAUGGAGAGAAAAACGAUGACCUGUAAGGUGUUCUCAUUAAAAGGAAAAAAGGCCGAGCAGGUGGAAGCUGAAACAGAAAAGGCGCUAAGGGAGAAGUCGAAAGAAAUAAUAUACAUUACUAAAGGAAGAAGACAUGGGACAAUGCUCGUCCAAUUCAGGAUAGUAGAGGAGGCAAGGAGGCUGGCGAGUGUGGUGGUGAAAAAAAAAGUAAUGCUUCAGCCCACAUACCUUGGAAGAAAGACUUCCAAAGUGAGGGUAGAAGCAAUUCCACUGGAUAUAGAAGUGGCUUGGGUAGCGGCAGCUGUCCUUGUUGGAAGCGAAGAGAUGAUGGCUGUCCUCCAAGCCACAGAAACAGAAGAAAGAGGUUGGAAAUGAAGGACACUUGAACUAAUUAUUCAGGCAGAGGAGAGUCAACUAGAGAACUUGGCAGAGACGGUGACAUUGGGGGAAAUCGUGCUGAGAGUGUGUUUUAAAUGUGGCCAAAAGGGCCACAUUAGAGUAUACUGCCCUCUACAGAGGACAAGGCUGAGGAUACAGUUGUGGAGACAGAAGAGGAAUGAGAAGAAGAAAAGAUAGACGGAGGAAACAAGAAAACGGAGGAAGAAUGGAAAGUUACAGAGAGCAGAAAGAGAAAGAGAGAAAAAAGAAAAAACACUGAGUAUGACGUGGUACCCCAGUCCAACUCCAUCCCACCCAAGACAACUCAGUCCCACCCUCCCCUCACAGACACCAAACUAACCCACCCCAUUUCUCAACAAGAAAAAAAAAGAAAGAACAGAUGCCACAAAAUUUAAAAGAUGCCACUCACGGUGAAAAAGGUUACGAAUGCAUGGUGGAGAGAACGAUGUCACUAAGUGAUAGAGAAACGGGAAAAAGGACUGGACUGAAGAAGGAAAAGAACUUAGAACUCAGAGGCAGCAAGUGGUGUUACUCAGUGUGGGG
Octopus sinensis (East Asian common octopus) is the source of this 2206-nucleotide long non-coding RNA. RefSeq lists it as uncharacterized. The transcript is spliced from 2 exons. The record is from RefSeq and is a predicted model, not a curated record. NCBI's taxonomy places the organism in Eukaryota, Metazoa, Mollusca, Cephalopoda, Octopoda, Octopodidae.